RNAcentral lists this ribosomal RNA (701 nucleotides) under uncultured bacterium. RNAcentral describes it as "bacterial SSU rRNA". It matches the Rfam family "Bacterial small subunit ribosomal RNA", at positions 125 to 818 of the family's 1533-position model. The record is from RNAcentral.
UCUGCCUGGUAGUGGGGGAUAACUUGCCGAAAGGUAAGCUAAUACCGCAUACGCCCUAAGGGGGAAAGCAGGGGACUCUUCGGAGCCUUGCGCUAUUAGAUGAGCCUAGGUCGGAUUAGUUAGUUGGUGGGGUAAUGGCUCACCAAGGCCGCGAUCCGUAACUGGUCUGAGAGGAUGAUCAGUCACACUGGAACUGAGACACGGUCCAGACUCCUACGGGAGGCAGCAGUGGGGAAUAUUGGACAAUGGGGGGAACCCUGAUCCAGCCAUGCCGCGUGUGUGAAGAAGGCCUUCGGGUUGUAAAGCACUUUAAUUUGGGAGGAAGGGCUUACGGUUAAUAGCCGCUAAGUUUUGACGUUACCAAAAGAAUAAGCACCGGCUAACUUCGUGCCAGCAGCCGCGGUAAUACGAAGGGUGCGAGCGUUAAUCGGAAUUACUGGGCGUAAAGCGCGCGUAGGUGGUUCAUUAAGUUAGGAGUGAAAGCCCCGGGCUCAACCUGGGAAUUGCUUCUAAAACUGGUGAGCUAGAGUACGGUAAAGGGUGGUGGAAUUUCCUGUGUAGCGGUGAAAUGCGUAGAUAUAGGAAGGAACAUCAGUGGCGAAGGCGACCACCUGGACUGAUACUGACACUGAGGUGCGAAAGCGUGGGGAGCAAACAGGAUUAAAUACCCUGGUAUUCCACGCCGUAAACGAUGUCAACUA